Molecule: ribosomal RNA, 433 nt
Filed under: uncultured bacterium
Lineage: Bacteria
Description: bacterial SSU rRNA
Rfam family: Bacterial small subunit ribosomal RNA
Source: RNAcentral
AACGAACGCUGGCGGCAUGCCUAACACAUGCAAGUCGAACGAAGCCUUCGGGCUUAGUGGCGCACGGGUGCGUAACACGUGGGAAUCUGCCCUUCGGUUCGGAAUAACAGUUAGAAAUGACUGCUAAUACCGGAUGAUGACGAAAGUCCAAAGAUUUAUCGCCGAAGGAUGAGCCCGCGUAGGAUUAGGUAGUUGGUAGGGUAAUGGCCUACCAAGCCGACGAUCCUUAGCUGGUCUGAGGGGAUGAUCAGCCACACUGGGACUGAGACACGGCCCAGACUCCUACGGGAGGCAGCAGUGGGGAAUAUUGGACAAUGGGCGAAAGCCUGAUCCAGCAAUGCCGCGUGAGUGAUGAAGGCCUUAGGGUUGUAAAGCUCUUUUACCAGGGAUGAUAAUGACAGUACCUGGAGAAUAAGCUCCGGCUAACUCCGUG